RNAcentral lists this long non-coding RNA (1791 nucleotides) under Astyanax mexicanus (Mexican tetra). RNAcentral's name for it is "lncRNA (ENSAMXG00005008812.1)". The record is from RNAcentral. Lineage: Eukaryota; Metazoa; Chordata; Actinopteri; Characiformes; Acestrorhamphidae.
UCAGAGGCGAGUGGUGACGUAAUCGCAGCCGGUACAGUUUGCACACCCUAGCAACCGUUGUUAAGGACGGAACACGGGGCGUCACGGGCGAGUGAUGACGUCACAACAGAGAAAAGUACUUAAACAGCAGCAGCUCUUCACUCUGUUAAUUCACAGUUUCUCGGUUACGGAAUGCAGGGGUCCGAGCAGACCUCCAGGAAAAGCCGUCCCAGUUUUGAUUUGAGGGAUCCUGGGAAUUUUGAAGCCCGUCUUAGGGCAAUGAUAGCAGCACAGGAUAGCGGCGAACAGGAGAGACAGAGGAUCCAGAGAAAAGCAGAGCUGGCCAGGAAUUUGAAGACAGGGACAUAUAGCGAAAAGACCCAGAGACUCAGACAGGCCAUAGAGGCAGCCGGUUAUAAACACCGGAAGACUAUACAAGAAUAUCAGCCUAACAAAAGAUACAAUUACGCUAAGCAGCUCAAAGAGCUGAGGCAGGCCGUUGAGGCAGACAAGAAAAGAGCAGAGAUGAACAAGUUGAAUCUUGAAGAGAUUAAACGACGUUUAGAGAUGGGAGAAGCAGGCAGGAAAAAGGCUAAGAAGAGAAAGAGAGAGGAGGAUAGUGAGCAGAUACAGAAAAAGAAAAAGAGAGAAGACAAAAGAGAAGAGUGUGAUCCAGUCCCAUUCACCAGCAGAGCCACUUCUGUUUUAACAGAUAGACCAGGAGGUCCAGGAGAACGACUUAGUUCCAGCAGUUCAGCUUCUGAUAUCUCCUUAUUAGAUGAUCAACUUUACGAGCUGCUGGGUUUGGGACCAGUUGAGACAGGCAGGAAAAGUGUGCAGCUGGGUUGUGAACCACUUGAGAGUGAAAAAAGGAUAGAGACAGGCAGGGAAAAGGCUGAGGAGAGUAAGAGAAAGGAGUACUGUGAGGAGAGAAAGAGAGUAGAAGAAAGAGACAUUGGUGCUGUACCAUCCACUAGCAGAUCCAGUCCCAAACGGACAAUAAUCAAGGGACUGAUAAUGAUGAAAAUGGCGAAGGACGUUCAGUUCUAUCACAGUUACUGCAAGAAAACACCUGAAGCCUUGCCAGUAGCUGGUCCAACUAGAAGAAAGCCGAGAUAUAAAGGGCGCGUUUAAACCGUAUUUUACGGUAUUCGCGUGUGCAGCGCACUCGGAGAAUAUUUAGAUAAAAAAAAACUUUCAGUAGUUCAGCUUGUGGGGUUCAUGUCCCCAUGGGUGUGGUAGUGGGCAUAGACAUCUUAUACUUAGACGCCGCACCGCCCCGUCUAUUUGAGGUGACGUCAGUGUUGCCAACUCACAGUAAGGAAAGUAGCUGCUGGCUGUCCUAAAAGUCCCUAGAAGUCGCUAAAUGACGUCAUUACCUAAUUUGCAUAAUACAUGUUUUUGAAGCUGUAAAGGAUUAAGGUUGUGGGAGAGAAAAAAAGUGAGUAAAAAACACCAUAAAUAUGUUAGAAAUGUUACAAAUGAACAACAAAAAAAAAACCUUUUUAAAUAGGACGUCACUUUUGUUUACAAUAACUUCAUUUUUACAUGAAUUACAUAAAUUAGUUUUUUGCCAUGUUCUUAAGGAGGACAGGAACUGAAGAGCGCGUGUUUAUCUCAGAGUCGCCAAAAGUCUCCAAUAACACCACAAAAACUCGCUAGAUUUGUCGCUAGUCGCUUUUUUUUUUUACCAAAAAAGUCGCUAGAGGGUAUGAAAAGUCACUAAAUUCAUAGUUUGUCUAUAUAACAAGCACUUAGAAACUCUGUAAUGAUAAUAAUAAAUGUGUAAUAUAAAUUAUAGUUAUAUCUAUA